GGAGAUCUUAAGGUGCCCCCUAGGGGACUGGUGGGAAGUCCCCUUCUGGAUCAGCCCUUCCUAGAGAGCUCACGGCUCCACCAGUGGUGACAAACGGAGGGGACCCAGCACAGAGAGGGGAAGGAGACGUGGGCGUGGAACCGGCUGGAGGUCUCCUCGGGACCUCACACUCUCCCCACCGUGUCCCCGACACCAGUCCAUGGACCCGCAGCCCAGCCAAAUGCCCAGCCUCUCCUCGCAGACCCUGGUCCUGCCUCCAUUCCCCAAGAGGAUGCCCUCCUACCACCCACCCACCCGCAACAACACCUGGACCCCGGGACCCCCGAAAGACAAGAUGUGGGACCCUGAGGAGGAGGAUCCCGGAGUUUGACUGCCCAGAUGUCCGCUGAACACCGGCCUCUUGCGAGGCACUUACGCCGUCUGUCCAGCCAAGCCCGCACCUUGCCCUGCAGCAGAGGGACUGCCACCCUCAUUCUGCAGAUUUCCAAUAACACAGUCAAGUUGCUUAAAUGAUCCUGCACCCAGGUCCUCACCGUGGGCUCUGCUGUUCCGAAUAUGAAGACGAAGCCAGACUUGGAGAACAGGGCCUUGAGGGUUUGUGUCUCUCGUUCCCAGAUUUCCAAUAACACAGUCAAGUUGCUUAAAUGAUAAGACAUUUUUGGGGGGAGAAAAAUUAAUGUUUUAUUUCUGUUUACAGUGAUAUAAUAUACUACUUAGUAUAAAUUAUAAAUAACUUAUGAGAAAAGAGAAGACAUCCCUUAUAUCCAGAAAAUAAAACAUUAA
This is a long non-coding RNA of Bos taurus (domestic cattle), 783 nucleotides long. The record is from Ensembl. Lineage: Eukaryota; Metazoa; Chordata; Mammalia; Artiodactyla; Bovidae.